This 500-nucleotide ribosomal RNA is filed under the name uncultured bacterium. RNAcentral describes it as "bacterial SSU rRNA". It matches the Rfam family "Bacterial small subunit ribosomal RNA", at positions 1010 to 1512 of the family's 1533-position model. The record is from RNAcentral.
ACCGACCGUAGCAAUACGGAGCUAGCACAGGUGCUGCAUGGCUGUUGUCAGCUCGUGCCGCGAGGUGUUGGGUUAAGUCCCGCAACGAGCGCAACCCUUAUCCUCUGUUACUCCGCAAGGAGGUCUCUGAGGAAACUGCCGGCGAUGAGCUGGAGGAAGGUGGGGAUGACGUCAAGUCAUCAUGGCCCUUAUGUCCAGGGCUACACACGUGCUACAAUGGCUUCUACAGAGGGUAGCAAGACUGCAAAGUGGAGCCAAUCCCUAAAGGAAGUCGUAGUUGGGAUCGGAGUCUGCAACUCGACUCCGUGAACCUGGAAUCGCUAGUAAUCGCGGAUCAGAACGCCGCGGUGAAUACGUUCCCGGGCCUUGUACACACCGCCCGUCACACCACGAAAGCCUGUUGUACCCGAAGCUGGUACGCUAACCCGCAAGGGAGGCAGCCAUCUAAGGUAUGGCCGGUAAUUGGGGUGAAGUCGUAACAAGGUAGCCGUAGGGGAACC